Molecule: ribosomal RNA, 253 nt
Filed under: uncultured bacterium
Lineage: Bacteria
Description: partial 16S ribosomal RNA
Rfam family: Bacterial small subunit ribosomal RNA
Source: RNAcentral
GACGAAGGGGGCUAGCGUUGUUCGGAAUUACUGGGCGUAAAGCGCGUGUAGGCGGUUAUCCAAGUCGGGUGUGAAAGCCUUGAGCUCAACUCCAGAACUGCCUUUGAUACUGGCAAUCUCGAGUCCGGGAGAGGUGAGUGGAACUGCGAGUGUAGAGGUGAAAUUCGUAGAUAUUCGCAAGAACACCAGUGGCGAAGGCGGCUCACUGGCCCGGUACUGACGCUGAGGUGCGAAAGCGUGGGGAGCAAACAGG